UGAACCUGAUUGGAGUCAGAAGACUGAAAAUAAAGUUAUAAAGAAGAAAUCCAGCUGAUUCCUGUUUAAACAACACAUACUUUUCCAACACUUGGGUAAAGCAUCUCGGCCGUAUAGCUUAUCAGUUCACCAGAGUCUUGCUAAUCCUGUGAAUGUUUAUUUACCUGUUUCCAGAAUAUUACCCUCCUGUGUUCCCCAAGAACCAACUUGGUACGUGCCUGAGGAUUUUCCUGUUGAGAGCCGCUCCCUCAAUCCAAUCUGUGCGCUGCCUGUCUGCCUUCACCCAGCCUGAAAACAAAGUCACCUGUAAGAUACUCACCUGUGUAUACUCACCUGGAACCGUGGAUCCUCUCCUCUGCAGUGAGUCCUCCGCACUAACCUGUCCUGACCCGUCCUGCACCAGUUGUAAAGAAAACCUUUUACCUGAGUUUCCUGUCUCUGUCUGUUACUGGUUCUGCUCACGUUGACUCCUUUGCUGAGAACCUGACAGUGGAGGAACAGCUCCAAAGUCCUCCAUCGUUGUCUCUGCUUCCCUCUG
Molecule: long non-coding RNA, 538 nt
Organism: Austrofundulus limnaeus
Lineage: Eukaryota; Metazoa; Chordata; Actinopteri; Cyprinodontiformes; Rivulidae
Exons: 2
Source: RefSeq, a predicted model, not a curated record